AUUUAAAUAGUUUAAUUAAAAAUAUUGAUUUGUGAAAUCAAUGAUAUAAAUUUUUAUUUAUUUUAAAUU
Molecule: transfer RNA, 69 nt
Filed under: Apis laboriosa (Himalayan honeybee)
Lineage: Eukaryota; Metazoa; Arthropoda; Insecta; Hymenoptera; Apidae
Description: tRNA-His
Source: RNAcentral